This 103-nucleotide microRNA precursor is filed under the name Marmota monax (woodchuck). The record is from RNAcentral. Lineage: Eukaryota; Metazoa; Chordata; Mammalia; Rodentia; Sciuridae.
AGUAGUAUAGCUGGGUCAAAAUGUGGUUCUAGUCCCAGUUUUCCAAGGAAUAUCCAUACUGCUUUCCAGAUUGGCUGCCACAUUUUUCAGUCCCACCAGCAAU